GACGAACGCUGGCGGCGUGCCUAACACAUGCAAGUCGAGCGGGACAUAGCAAUAUGUCCAGCGGCGGACGGGUGAGUAACACGUGAGGAACCUGCCCUUCAGUGGGGAACAACACCGGGAAACCGGUGCUAAUACCGCAUGACGUCCCUGGGAGACAUCUUCGGGGGACCAAAGGAGAAAUCCGCUGAGGGAUGGCCUCGCGUCCGAUUAGCUAGUUGGCGGGGUAACGGCCCACCAAGGCUUCGAUCGGUAGCCGAACUGAGAGGUUGAUCGGCCACAUUGGGACUGAGACACGGCCCAGACUCCUACGGGAGGCUG
This 318-nucleotide ribosomal RNA is filed under the name uncultured Bacillota bacterium. RNAcentral describes it as "bacterial SSU rRNA". It matches the Rfam family "Bacterial small subunit ribosomal RNA", at positions 28 to 351 of the family's 1533-position model. Lineage: Bacteria; Bacillati; Bacillota. The record is from RNAcentral.